GACGAACGCUGGCGGCGUGCUUAACACAUGCAAGUCGAACGGACAGUCUCUGCUUUUGUGGGCUGCUCGAGUGGCUAACGGGUGAGUAACACGUGAGUACCCUUCCCUUGACUUUGGGAUAACUUCAGGUAACUGGGGCUAAUACUGGAUAGUAGCUCCUGCUGCUUGUUGGGGGUUGGAAAUUUUCGGCGGUUGGGGAUGGACUCGCGGCUUAUCAGCCUGUUGGUGGGGUAGUGGCUUACCAAGGCUUUGACGGGUAGCCGGCCUGAGAGGGUGACCGGCCACAUUGGGACUGGGAUACGGCCCAGACUCCUACGGGAGGCAGCAGUGGGGGAUAUUGCACGAUGGGCGGAAGCCGGAAGCAGCAUCUCCGCGUGCGGGAUGACGGCCUUAGGGUUGUAAACCGCUUUCGCCUGUGACGAAGCGUGAGUGACGGUAAUGGGUAAAGAAGCACCGGCUAACUACGUG
Molecule: ribosomal RNA, 468 nt
Filed under: uncultured bacterium
Lineage: Bacteria
Description: partial 16S ribosomal RNA
Rfam family: Bacterial small subunit ribosomal RNA
Source: RNAcentral